This 229-nucleotide long non-coding RNA is filed under the name Homo sapiens (human). RNAcentral's name for it is "HSALNT0403720". Lineage: Eukaryota; Metazoa; Chordata; Mammalia; Primates; Hominidae. The record is from RNAcentral.
AGGCAAGUUACAGAAGAGCCUGGACCAUGCAGUUGGCUCAUCAGGUAGACAUUAACUUCUGCAAUGUGCUGGACGCUCUUUUAAGUUUACAGGCAUAAACUUACCAGAAAUUGGAGCAUUAUGGUAACAAUUUUGAAGCAAGUUCCAUCAUGUUAAAGCAAAGAAAAAAAAAAAGAAGAAGAAACACAUAAAGCUAAGAAAACAAGCUUACCUAAUGAAAAUAGUAAUA